UACGUAGGGGGCAAGCGUUAUCCGGAUUUACUGGGUGUAAAGGGAGCGUAGACGGUUGUAUAAGUCUGGAGUGAAAGCCCGGGGCCCAACCCCGGGACUGCUUUGGAAACUGUGUAACUUGAGUACAGUAGAGGUGGGCGGAAUUCGUGGUGUAGCGGUGAAAUGCUUAGAUAUCACGAAGAACUCCGAUUGCGAAGGCAGCUCACUGGACUGCAACUGACACUGAGGCUCGAAAGUGUGGGUAUCAAACAGG
This 253-nucleotide ribosomal RNA is filed under the name uncultured Eubacteriales bacterium. Its description in RNAcentral is "uncultured Clostridiales bacterium partial 16S ribosomal RNA". It matches the Rfam family "Bacterial small subunit ribosomal RNA", at positions 524 to 776 of the family's 1533-position model. Lineage: Bacteria; Bacillati; Bacillota; Clostridia; Eubacteriales. The record is from RNAcentral.